This 393-nucleotide ribosomal RNA is filed under the name Triticum aestivum (bread wheat). RNAcentral describes it as "partial small subunit ribosomal RNA". Lineage: Eukaryota; Viridiplantae; Streptophyta; Magnoliopsida; Poales; Poaceae. The record is from RNAcentral.
UUUGAUCGAAAUAAAUAUAAAUUCUCUUCUUAUUUCUAUUUUAUGAUCGAUCAAUAUAAACAUCAACAACUUCAAAUUAGACUCGUUUCCCCUCAACAAAUAAAGGCUUGGAUAGCAAAAACCCUACCUAAUGGAGAAGUCGUUGGCGAAGUCACGAGGCCCUCUACUUUUCAUUAUACAACCGAUAAACCAGAAAAAGAUGGAUCGUUCUGCGAAAGAAUCUUUGGACAUAUAAAAAGCGGGAUUUGCACUUCUGGCAAUUCUCGAGCGUGCGGAGCUGAAAACGAAGACGAAAGAUGUUGCCAAAAAUGCGGGGUAGAAUUUGUGGAUUCUCGGAUACGAAGAUAUCAAACGGGAUACAUCAAACUCGCAUGUCCCGUGACUGAUGUGUGA